UACGGAGGAUGCAAGCGUUAUCCGGAAUGAUUGGGCGUAAAGCGUCCGCAGGCGGUUUUGUAAGUCUGCUGUUAAAGCGUUAGGCUCAACCUAAUAAGGGCAGUGGAAACUACGAGACUAGAGUAUGUUAGGGGUAGAGGGAAUUCCCAGUGUAGCGGUGAAAUGCGUAGAGAUUGGGAAGAACACCGGUGGCGAAGGCGGCAUCCUGGACCAAUUCUGACGCUGAGGAGCGAAAGCCAGGGGAGCAAACGGG
RNAcentral lists this ribosomal RNA (253 nucleotides) under uncultured bacterium. RNAcentral's name for it is "partial 16S ribosomal RNA". It matches the Rfam family "Bacterial small subunit ribosomal RNA", at positions 524 to 776 of the family's 1533-position model. The record is from RNAcentral.